This 497-nucleotide ribosomal RNA is filed under the name uncultured bacterium. RNAcentral's name for it is "partial 16S ribosomal RNA". It matches the Rfam family "Bacterial small subunit ribosomal RNA", at positions 28 to 507 of the family's 1533-position model. The record is from RNAcentral.
GAUGAACGCUGGCGGCGUGCCUAAUACAUGCAAGUCGAGCGAACGGACGAGAAGCUUGCUUCCCUGAUGUUAGCGGCGGACGGGUGAGUAACACGUGGAUAACCUACCUAUAAGACUGGGAUAACUUCGGGAAACCGGAGCUAAUACCGGAUAAUAUUUUGAACCGCAUUGUUCAAAAGUGAAAGACGGUCUUGCUGUCACUAAUAGAUGGAUCCGCGCUGCAUUAGCUAGUUGGUAAGGUAACGGCUUACCAAGGCAACGAUGCAUAGCCGACCUGAGAGGGUGGUCGGCCACACUGGAACUGAGACACGGUCCAGACUCCUACGGGAGGCAGCAGUAGGGAAUCUUCCGCGAUGGGCGAAAGCCGGACGGAGCAACGCCGCGUGAGUGAUGAAGGUCUUCGGAUCGUAAAACUCUGUUAUUAGGGAAGAACAUAUGUGUAUGUAACUGUGCACAUCUUGACGGUACCUAAUCAGAAAGCCACGGCUAACUACGUG